AUUGAACGCUGGCGGCAGGCCUAACACAUGCAAGUCGAACGGUAACAGGAAGCAGCUUGCUGCUUUGCUGACGAGUGGCGGACGGGUGAGUAAUGUCUGGGAAACUGCCUGAUGGAGGGGGAUAACUACUGGAAACGGUAGCUAAUACCGCAUAACGUCGCAAGACCAAAGAGGGGGACCUUCGGGCCUCUUGCCAUCGGAUGUGCCCAGAUGGGAUUAGCUUGUUGGUGGGGUAACGGCUCACCAAGGCGACGAUCCCUAGCUGGUCUGAGAGGAUGACCAGCCACACUGGAACUGAGACACGGUCCAGACUCCUACGGGAGGCAGCAGUGGGGAAUAUUGCACAAUGGGCGCAAGCCUGAUGCAGCAAUGCCGCGUGUAUGAAGAAGGCCUUCGGGUUGUAAAGUACUUUCAGCGGGGAGGAAGGGAGUAAAGUUAAUACCUUUACUCAUUGACGUUACCCGCAGAAGAAGCACCGGCUAACUCCGUG
This 490-nucleotide ribosomal RNA is filed under the name uncultured bacterium. RNAcentral describes it as "partial 16S ribosomal RNA". It matches the Rfam family "Bacterial small subunit ribosomal RNA", at positions 30 to 507 of the family's 1533-position model. The record is from RNAcentral.